GGGUGUAUAGCUCAGUUGGUAGAGCAGCGGACUUUUAAUCCGUAGGUCUUGGGUUCGAGCCCCAAUACACUCA
This 73-nucleotide transfer RNA is filed under the name Ophirina amphinema. RNAcentral describes it as "tRNA-Lys". It matches the Rfam family "tRNA". From Rfam's summary of the family: Transfer RNA (tRNA) molecules are approximately 80 nucleotides in length. Their secondary structure includes four short double-helical elements and three loops (D, anti-codon, and T loops). Lineage: Eukaryota; Jakobea; Jakobida; Ophirinidae. The record is from RNAcentral.